Molecule: non-coding RNA, 649 nt
Organism: Ciona intestinalis (vase tunicate)
Lineage: Eukaryota; Metazoa; Chordata; Ascidiacea; Phlebobranchia; Cionidae
Source: RefSeq, a predicted model, not a curated record
GUUUCAGCUACAGGUUGGAUACACCCGAAGCUCUACUUGCGCCAGGGAAUAUGCUCAAUAACGCGGAUUUUCAGGAAUCUUUAUUAAGACGAAGAAAGAAGGAAAGAUGGAAUUGAUGUAUCCGGGUCCUGCGGAUGGAGAGGACGAAGAGGAGUGGAUGGAACACAAGCUUCAACACCAGUACGGUACAAAUUGUAGUACUGGGAACGGUACCGUGAAUUUAUUACUAGCACGUUAGGGCUUUAGGGGAGAGUUCUCGAGCGUGGGCCAACAUUUUGUUGGUAAGAUAAGCUGCACUUCGUAUGUUGUAUCAUUUUUGUCAAUCGCGCGCGUCCCUUUACGCUCCGUAUUUUUGUUGACUUACCACGAAGAGGCUCUCCAUAAAAUGUGAACUUUGCGCAACAAUGCUGGGUUUAGGGUUAUUCUUUUAAAUAGGGCAUAGCUCCAAACAACACAUUUUCUUACAGGUGGCAUUGGUUUUAUUCCCUCACACAUUAGGGUGUAGAAUUUCUCUUUCUUUUUUACAGGUUCUCUCAUUUCUCUAUGUAUUUAUAUUAGAAUUGUUGCAGGCAGAAUGUCAGUAGUGGUUAACCCAGCAACGUUGCAUAAACACACAACUACACAAAAUCAAACUCAAACAAAAACACAU